Molecule: ribosomal RNA, 185 nt
Filed under: uncultured bacterium
Lineage: Bacteria
Description: partial 16S ribosomal RNA
Rfam family: Bacterial small subunit ribosomal RNA
Source: RNAcentral
CCUUCAUGAAGUCGGAAUUGCUAGUAAUGGCAGGUCAGCAUACUGCCGUGAAUACGUUCCCGGGCCUUGUACACACCGCCCGUCACACCAUGAGAGUUGGGAAUACCCGAAGCCUGUGAGCCAACAAACGAGGCAGCAGUCGAAGGUAGAAUCAAUGAUUGGGGGUGAAGUCGUAACAAGGUAAC